UCAUGCAUUAGUAAAUAGCCGCAGUAUUCUGACUGGUGCUAAGGUAGCAUAAUCAUUAGUCUCUUAAUUAGAGGCUGGUAUGAAUGGUGAGACGAGAAAAAAGCUGUCUCUAAAAUAUUUGUUGAAUUUCAUUUUUAAGUGAAAAAGCUUAAAUGCGUUUGGGGGACGAUCAGACCCUUUGGAGCUUUAUUUCAUUAAAGUUUUAGGUUACUUUUUAUAACAAAAAUUAUGAUGAAAUUUUGUUGGGGCGACAGAAAGUUAAAAAGUACCACUUUCUUUAAAAAACAUGUAUAGAUGGAAAAUUGAUCCCUAAGGAGGGAUUAGAAGACUAAGUUACCCUAGGGAUAACAGCGUAAUCUUUUUGGAGAGUUCUUAUCGAUAAAAAGGUUUGCGACCUCGAUGUUGGAUUAAGAAAUUAGCAAGGUGCAGAAGUUUUGUUGGAAAGUCUGUUCGACUUUUGAUUUCUUACGUGAUC
This 475-nucleotide ribosomal RNA is filed under the name Daphnia pulex (common water flea). RNAcentral describes it as "partial 16S ribosomal RNA". It matches the Rfam family "Bacterial large subunit ribosomal RNA", at positions 1913 to 2605 of the family's 2925-position model. The record is from RNAcentral. Lineage: Eukaryota; Metazoa; Arthropoda; Branchiopoda; Diplostraca; Daphniidae.